AAAUUGAAGAGUUUGAUCAUGGCUCAGAUUGAACGCUGGCGGCAGGCCUAACACAUGCAAGUCGAACGGUAACAGGAAGCAGCUUGCUGCUUCGCUGACGAGUGGCGGACGGGUGAGUAAUGUCUGGGAAGCUGCCUGAUGGAGGGGGAUAACUACUGGAAACGGUGGCUAAUACCGCAUAACGUCGCAAGACCAAAGAGGGGGACCUUCGGGCCUCUUGCCAUCAGAUGUGCCCAGAUGGGAUUAGCUAGUUGGUGAGGUAACGGCUCACCAAGGCGACGAUCCCUAGCUGGUCUGAGAGGAUGACCAGCCACACUGGAACUGAGACACGGUCCAGACUCCUACGGGAGGCAGCAGUGGGGAAUAUUGCACAAUGGGCGCAAGCCUGAUGCAGCCAUGCCGCGUGUAUGAAGAAGGCCUUAGGGUUGUAAAGUACUUUCAGCGGGGAGGAAGGUGUUGUGGUUAAUAACCGCAGCAAUUGACGUUACCCGCAGAAGAAGCACCGGCUAACUCCGUGCCAGCAGCCGCGGUAAUACGGAGGGUGCAAGCGUUAAUCGGAAUUACUGGGCGUAAAGCGCACGCAGGCGGUCUGUCAAGUCGGAUGUGAAAUCCCCGGGCUCAACCUGGGAACUGCAUUCGAAACUGGCAGGCUUGAGUCUUGUAGAGGGGGGUAGAAUUCCAGGUGUAGCGGUGAAAUGCGUAGAGAUCUGGAGGAAUACCGGUGGCGAAGGCGGCCCCCUGGACAAAGACUGACGCUCAGGUGCGAAAGCGUGGGGAGCAAACAGGAUUAGAUACCCUGGUAGUCCACGCCGUAAACGAUGUCUACUUGGAGGUUGUGCCCUUGAGGCGUGGCUUCCGGAGCUAACGCGUUAAGUAGACCGCCUGGGGAGUACGGCCGCAAGGUUAAAACUCAAAUGAAUUGACGGGGGCCCGCACAAGCGGUGGAGCAUGUGGUUUAAUUCGAUGCAACGCGAAGAACCUUACCUGGUCUUGACAUCCACAGAAGAAUCCAGAGAUGGAUUUGUGCCUUCGGGAACUGUGAGACAGGUGCUGCAUGGCUGUCGUCAGCUCGUGUUGUGAAAUGUUGGGUUAAGUCCCGCAACGAGCGCAACCCUUAUCCUUUGUUGCCAGCGGUCCGGCCGGGAACUCAAAGGAGACUGCCAGUGAUAAACUGGAGGAAGGUGGGGAUGACGUCAAGUCAUCAUGGCCCUUACGACCAGGGCUACACACGUGCUACAAUGGCGCAUACAAAGAGAAGCGACCUCGCGAGAGCAAGCGGACCUCAUAAAGUGCGUCGUAGUCCGGAUUGGAGUCUGCAACUCGACUCCAUGAAGUCGGAAUCGCUAGUAAUCGUGGAUCAGAAUGCCACGGUGAAUACGUUCCCGGGGGCCUUGUACACACCGCCCGUCACACCAUGGGAGUGGGUUGCAAAAGAAGUAGGUAGCUUAACCUUCGGGAGGGCGCUUACCACUUUGUGAUUCAUGACUGGGGUGAAGUCGUAACAAGGUAACCGUAGGGGAACCUGCGGUUGGAUCACCUCCUUA
Molecule: ribosomal RNA, 1544 nt
Filed under: Salmonella enterica subsp. enterica serovar Thompson
Lineage: Bacteria; Pseudomonadati; Pseudomonadota; Gammaproteobacteria; Enterobacterales; Enterobacteriaceae
Description: bacterial SSU rRNA
Rfam family: Bacterial small subunit ribosomal RNA
Source: RNAcentral